Molecule: ribosomal RNA, 253 nt
Filed under: Roseburia faecis M72/1
Lineage: Bacteria; Bacillati; Bacillota; Clostridia; Lachnospirales; Lachnospiraceae
Description: partial 16S ribosomal RNA
Rfam family: Bacterial small subunit ribosomal RNA
Source: RNAcentral
UACGUAUGGUGCAAGCGUUAUCCGGAUUUACUGGGUGUAAAGGGAGCGCAGGCGGUGCGGCAAGUCUGAUGUGAAAGCCCGGGGCUCAACCCCGGUACUGCAUUGGAAACUGUCGUACUAGAGUGUCGGAAGGGUAAGCGGAAUUCCUAGUGUAGCGGUGAAAUGCGUAGAUAUUAGGAGGAACACCAGUGGCGAAGGCGGCUUACUGGACGAUAACUGACGCUGAGGCUCGAAAGCGUGGGGAGCAAACAGG